This 465-nucleotide ribosomal RNA is filed under the name Vreelandella stevensii. RNAcentral's name for it is "partial 16S ribosomal RNA". It matches the Rfam family "Bacterial small subunit ribosomal RNA", at positions 338 to 795 of the family's 1533-position model. Lineage: Bacteria; Pseudomonadati; Pseudomonadota; Gammaproteobacteria; Oceanospirillales; Halomonadaceae. The record is from RNAcentral.
CCUGCGGGUGGCAGCAGUGGGGAAUAUUGGACAAUGGGCGAAAGCCUGAUCCAGCCAUGCCGCGUGUGUGAAGAAGGCCUUCGGGUUGUAAAGCACUUUCAGUGGGGAAGAAAGCCUUGGGGCUAAUACCCUCGAGGAAGGACAUCACCCACAGAAGAAGCACCGGCUAACUCCGUGCCAGCAGCCGCGGUAAUACGGAGGGUGCGAGCGUUAAUCGGAAUUACUGGGCGUAAAGCGCGCGUAGGCGGUCUGAUAAGCCGGUUGUGAAAGCCCCGGGCUCAACCUGGGAACGGCAUCCGGAACUGUCAGGCUAGAGUGCAGGAGAGGAAGGUAGAAUUCCCGGUGUAGCGGUGAAAUGCGUAGAGAUCGGGAGGAAUACCAGUGGCGAAGGCGGCCUUCUGGACUGACACUGACGCUGAGGUGCGAAAGCGUGGGUAGCAAACAGGAUUAGAUACCCCUGUAGUC